AGAGUUUGAUCAUGGCUCAGGACGAAACGCUGGCGGCGUGCUUUAACACAUGCAAGUCGAACGGUGAUGAGGAGCUUGCUUCUCUGAUCAGUGGCGAACGGGUGAGUAACACGUGAGCAAUCUGCCCUUGACUCUGGGAUAACUGCGGGAAACUGUAGCUAAUACCGGAUACGACCUUGGAAGGCAUCUUUCUUGGUGGAAAGAAUUUUGGUCAAGGAUGAGCUCGCGGCCUAUCAGCUAGUUGGUGAGGUAAUGGCUCACCAAGGCGACGACGGGUAGCCGGCCUGAGAGGGUGACCGGCCACACUGGGACUGAGACACGGCCCAGACUCCUACGGGAGGCAGCAGUGGGGAAUAUUGCACAAUGGGCGCAAGCCUGAUGCAGCAACGCCGCGUGAGGGACGAAGGCCUUCGGGUUGUAAACCUCUUUUAGUAGGGAAGAAGUGACUGGGUUUUCCUGGAAGUGACGGUACCUGCAGAAAAAGCACCGGCUAACUACGUGCCAGCAGCCGCGGUAAUACGUAGGGUGCAAGCGUUGUCCGGAAUUAUUGGGCGUAAAGAGCUCGUAGGCGGUUUGUUGCGUCUGCUGUGAAAACCCGAGGCUCAACCUCGGGCCUGCAGUGGGUACGGGCAGACUAGAGUGCGGUAGGGGAGAUUGGAAUUCCUGGUGUAGCGGUGGAAUGCGCAGAUAUCAGGAGGAACACCAAUGGCGAAGGCAGAUCUCUGGGCCGUAACUGACGCUGAGGAGCGAAAGCAUGGGGAGCGAACAGGAUUAGAUACCCUGGUAGUCCAUGCCGUAAACGUUGGGAACUAGAUGUGGGGACCAUUCCACGGUCUCCGUGUCGCAGCUAAACGCAUUAAGUUCCCCGCCUG
This 872-nucleotide ribosomal RNA is filed under the name uncultured bacterium. RNAcentral describes it as "bacterial SSU rRNA". It matches the Rfam family "Bacterial small subunit ribosomal RNA", at positions 9 to 873 of the family's 1533-position model. The record is from RNAcentral.